UUAUUUUAUAAUUUAAAGAAAAAUAUUAAAUUGCAAAUUUAAAAUUAUUUAUAUAUAAUAAAUUAAAAUA
This 70-nucleotide transfer RNA is filed under the name Aenasius arizonensis. RNAcentral's name for it is "tRNA-Cys". The record is from RNAcentral. Lineage: Eukaryota; Metazoa; Arthropoda; Insecta; Hymenoptera; Encyrtidae.